Molecule: transfer RNA, 67 nt
Filed under: Helicana wuana
Lineage: Eukaryota; Metazoa; Arthropoda; Malacostraca; Decapoda; Varunidae
Description: tRNA-Leu
Source: RNAcentral
UCUAAAAUGGCAGAUAGAUGUAUAGGAUUUAAGCUCCUAUUAGGAAAAUAUAAAUUUUCUUUUAAAA